GCCGGGAUAGCUCAGUCGGUAGAGC
Molecule: non-coding RNA, 25 nt
Filed under: Drosophila melanogaster (fruit fly)
Lineage: Eukaryota; Metazoa; Arthropoda; Insecta; Diptera; Drosophilidae
Also listed under: 3 other names
Source: RNAcentral